RNAcentral lists this ribosomal RNA (425 nucleotides) under uncultured bacterium. RNAcentral describes it as "bacterial SSU rRNA". It matches the Rfam family "Bacterial small subunit ribosomal RNA", at positions 355 to 776 of the family's 1533-position model. The record is from RNAcentral.
UAAGGAAUAUUGGGCAAUGGACGCAAGUCUGACCCAGCCAUGCCGCGUGAAGGAUGAAUGUCCUAUGGAUUGUAAACUUCUUUUAUGCAGGAAAAAUAUCCCGGUCGUGAACCGGGACUGAUGGUACUGUAUGAAUAAGCAUCGGCUAACUCCGUGCCAGCAGCCGCGGUAAUACGGAGGAUGCAAGCGUUAUCCGGAUUCAUUGGGUUUAAAGGGUGCGCAGGCGGAAUGAUAAGUCAGUGGUGAAAUCUCCCGGCUCAACCGGGAAACUGCCAUUGAUACUGUCGUUCUUGAGUACAGUUGAAGUGGGCGGAAUGUGUCAUGUAGCGGUGAAAUGCUUAGAUAUGACACAGAACACCGAUAGUGAAGACAGCUCACUAAGCUGUAACUGACGCUCAUGCACGAAAGCGUGGGGAUCAAACAGG